This is a long non-coding RNA of Macadamia integrifolia, 424 nucleotides long. RefSeq lists it as uncharacterized. The record is from RefSeq and is a predicted model, not a curated record. NCBI's taxonomy places the organism in Eukaryota, Viridiplantae, Streptophyta, Magnoliopsida, Proteales, Proteaceae. The transcript is spliced from 2 exons.
UUUUACAUGGACUAUUAAGAGUCAAUUUGGGUUUAGCAGUGAACCUAUGCUUAGUCAUAUUAGGUGUUAUACAUGUUUAAUAAUAUGAUACACCAUUGGUUAGGAACCUAAAACAAUUGGGAGAGGAUACAAAGUUGAUUGCGGGAAUCCUAUCGCACUUGUGAUUUGGAUUUUAAGAUGGUGGAACCGGUGUUGAGGCAAGGUUAGACUUUGGCAGCAGUUAUGAGGCUCGUGCCUACGAGACACCGGAUGCUGAUGGACAUCACUUCUACUAUUUCAAAUCUUCCUUUUUUAUGUAUAUAUGUAUAAAAUGUAUAGUAGGUAAUAUUGUAACAUUUGGUUGUUUACAGACAUGGAAUUUUGUAUUAUACAACUUAUCAUUUUAGUAAAUCACUAGUGGUAAAUGUAAGAUUUUAUUAGCGUA